Molecule: ribosomal RNA, 254 nt
Filed under: uncultured bacterium
Lineage: Bacteria
Description: partial 16S ribosomal RNA
Rfam family: Bacterial small subunit ribosomal RNA
Source: RNAcentral
UACGUAGGGUGCAAGCGUUGCCCGGAUUUAUUGGGCGUAAAGAGCUCGUAGGCGGUUCGGUAAGUCAGGUGUGAAAUCUCCACGCUCAACGUGGAGGCGCCACCUGAAACUGCCGUGACUCGAGUCCGGUAGGGGAGUGUGGAAUUCCUGGUGUAGCGGUGAAAUGCGCAGAUAUCAGGAGGAACACCAGUGGCGAAGGCGACUACCUGGCCCACUCUUGACGCUGAGGCGCGAAAGCUAGGGGAGCGAACGGG